GCAUAGCAGGCCUGAAAUACACAGGUUGAUCCACUAUUACGAAUAAAAUCUAAAGUAGGAUGUGUAAUUAUAACAACUCUGUUACUUUGUUCAGAAAUAGAAGGUUAAAGACAGUUAUAACUAGCAAUCAUUGAGAUUCCAAUUUCUAACACUAGUUCCCAACUUGAUGCCACUAAUAAAAUUUUUUCCCUAUUGAAUUUCUCAAUUGGGGGAAAAAAAAGAGCAAGCACACUGAGGCAACUUUAAAGUAGUUUCCCAGCUUAUCCUUUGUACCAUGUCAGGGAAGAAGAUAAUUGAAACAUUAAUGUCAUCAAAAUAGAGCUAUGGCAGCCAAACAGAGUUUAGA
RNAcentral lists this unclassified non-coding RNA (346 nucleotides) under Hevea brasiliensis (rubber tree). The record is from RNAcentral. Lineage: Eukaryota; Viridiplantae; Streptophyta; Magnoliopsida; Malpighiales; Euphorbiaceae.